This 461-nucleotide ribosomal RNA is filed under the name uncultured Eubacteriales bacterium. RNAcentral's name for it is "bacterial SSU rRNA". It matches the Rfam family "Bacterial small subunit ribosomal RNA", at positions 924 to 1382 of the family's 1533-position model. Lineage: Bacteria; Bacillati; Bacillota; Clostridia; Eubacteriales. The record is from RNAcentral.
GACAAGCGGUGGAGCAUGUGGUUUAAUUCGAAGCAACGCGAAGAACCUUACCAGGGCUUGACAUGCCGCUGACCGGUUUAGAGAUAGACCUUUAUCCUUCGGGGUACAGCGGACACAGGUGGUGCAUGGUUGUCGUCAGCUCGUGUCGUGAGAUGUUGGGUUAAGUCCCGCAACGAGCGCAACCCUUGUCUUUAGUUGCCAUCAUUAAGUUGGGCACUCUAAAGAGACUGCCGAUGACAAAUCGGAGGAAGGUGGGGAUGACGUCAAAUCAUCAUGCCCUUUAUGUCCUGGGCUACACACGUGCUACAAUGGUCGGUACAACGAGAAGCAAGCCAGCGAUGGCAAGCAAAUCUCUAAAAGCCGAUCCCAGUUCGGAUUGCAGGCUGCAACUCGCCUGCAUGAAGUCGGAGUUGCUAGUAAUCGCGGAUCAGAAUGCCGCGGUGAAUGCGUUCCCGGGUCCU